Molecule: ribosomal RNA, 495 nt
Filed under: uncultured bacterium
Lineage: Bacteria
Description: partial 16S ribosomal RNA
Rfam family: Bacterial small subunit ribosomal RNA
Source: RNAcentral
GAUGAACGCUGGCGGCGUGCCUAAUACAUGCAAGUCGAGCGAACGGACGAGAAGCUUGCUUCUCUGAUGUUAGCGGCGGACGGGUGAGUAACACGUGGAUAACCUACCUAUAAGACUGGGAUAACUUCGGGAAACCGGAGCUAAUACCGGAUAAUAUUUUGAACCGCAUGGUUCAAAAGUGAAAGACGGUCUUGCUGUCACUUAUAGAUGGAUCCGCGCUGCAUUAGCUAGUUGGUAAGGUAACGGCUUACCAAGGCAACGAUGCAUAGCCGACCUGAGAGGGUGAUCGGCCACACUGGAACUGAGACACGGUCCAGACUCCUACGGGAGGCAGCAGUAGGGAAUCUUCCGCAAUGGGCGAAAGCCUGACGGAGCAACGCCGCGUGAGUGAUGAAGGUCUUCGGAUCGUAAAACUCUGUUAUUAGGGAAGAACAUAUGUGUAAGUAACUGUGCACAUCGUGACGGUACCUAAUCAGAAAGCCACGGCUAACUACG